This 429-nucleotide ribosomal RNA is filed under the name Gemmatimonadota bacterium. Its description in RNAcentral is "Gemmatimonadetes bacterium partial 16S ribosomal RNA". It matches the Rfam family "Bacterial small subunit ribosomal RNA", at positions 355 to 776 of the family's 1533-position model. The record is from RNAcentral. Lineage: Bacteria; Pseudomonadati; Gemmatimonadota.
UAGGGAAUCUUCGGCAAUGGACGAAAGUCUGACCGAGCAACGCCGCGUGAGUGAAGAAGGUUUUCGGAUCGUAAAACUCUGUUGUUAGAGAAGAACAAGGACGUUAGUAACUGAACGUCCCCUGACGGUAUCUAACCAGAAAGCCACGGCUAACUACGUGCCAGCAGCCGCGGUAAUACGUAGGUGGCAAGCGUUGUCUGGAUUUAUUGGGCGUAAAGCGAGCGCAGGCGGUUUCUUAAGUAUGAUGUGAAAGCCCCCGGCUAAACCGGGGAGGGUCAUUGGAAAGUGGGAGACUUGAGUGCAGAAGAGGAGAGUGGAAUUCCAUGUGUAGCGGUGAAAUGCGUAGAUAUAUGGAGGAACACCAGUGGCGAAGGCGGCUGUCUGGUCUGUAACUGACGCUGAGGCUCGAAAGCGUGGGGAGCAAACAGG